RNAcentral lists this ribosomal RNA (391 nucleotides) under uncultured bacterium. RNAcentral's name for it is "bacterial SSU rRNA". It matches the Rfam family "Bacterial small subunit ribosomal RNA", at positions 28 to 416 of the family's 1533-position model. The record is from RNAcentral.
AUUGAACGCUGGCGGCAUGCUUUACACAUGCAAGUCGAACGGCAGCGGGGGCUUCGGCCUGCCGGCGAGUGGCGAACGGGUGAGUAAUGCAUCGAAACGUGCCCAUGGUCGUGGGGGAUAACGGUAGCGAAAGCUACGCUAAUACCGCAUACGUCCUGAGGGAGAAAGCGGGGGGAUCUUCGGACCUCGCGCGAUUGGAGCGGCCGAUGUCGGAUUAGCUAGUUGGUGGGGUAAAGGCCCACCAAGGCGACGAUCCGUAGCGGGUCUGAGAGGAUGAUCCGCCACACUGGGACUGAGACACGGCCCAGACUCCUACGGGAGGCAGCAGUGGGGAAUUUUGGGACAAUGGGCGCAAGCCUGAUCCAGCCAUGCCGCGUGAGUGAAGAAGGCC